CCUACGGGAGACAGCAGUGGGGAAUCUUGCACAAUGGGGGAAACCCUGAUGCAGCGACGCCGCGUGAGUGAAGAAGUAUUUCGGUAUGUAAAGCUCUAUCAGCAGGGAAGAAGAAAGACGGUACCUGACUACGAAGCCCCGGCUAACUACGUGCCAGCAGCCGCGGUAAUACGUAGGGGGCAAGCGUUAUCCGGAUUUACUGGGUGUAAAGGGAGCGUAGACGGCUGUGCAAGUCUGAAGUGAAAGCCCAGGGCUCAACCCUGGGACUGCUUUGGAAACUGUGGAGCUAGAGUGCUGGAGAGGUAAGUGGAAGUCCUAGUGUAGCGGUGAAAUGCGUAGAUAUUAGGAGGAACACCAGUUGCGAAGGCGGCUCUCUGGACUGUAACUGACACUGAGGCACGAAAGCGUGGGGAGCAAACAGGAUUAGGUACCCUUGUAGUC
RNAcentral lists this ribosomal RNA (441 nucleotides) under uncultured bacterium. RNAcentral's name for it is "partial 16S ribosomal RNA". It matches the Rfam family "Bacterial small subunit ribosomal RNA", at positions 338 to 795 of the family's 1533-position model. The record is from RNAcentral.